This 14667-nucleotide long non-coding RNA is filed under the name Solanum tuberosum (potato). Its description in RNAcentral is "long non-coding RNA (STUB_LNC004382)". Lineage: Eukaryota; Viridiplantae; Streptophyta; Magnoliopsida; Solanales; Solanaceae. The record is from RNAcentral.
ACAUUUUCUUGAUUUUUCAGUCGACACAAAGUACAUCUAUUGUUCAUGCCACAUUCGGGAUGCAGUUAGUUUAUGUGACAUGUAGAAAUUUUUAUGACUUGGCCUCUUCCUGCUUGUAGAUAUAUUACCACUUCUUAUUUGAUAUGUUAGUUGUAGUUGGAAAUGGCCAAGGUAGACAUGAUGUAAUAUUGUUUUCUCCAUUUGUCAAGCAGCCUGACCUUAUGCUGUUCUUAAAAGCUCUGUUCUUUCUCCAGCCAGGUGUGCCUAUAUCAAAUCUUGUUUCAAGCUGGCUAUUGAGUUGCAAAGAGUUAAUUUGCACGGAACAGUCAAGUGGGACAAGCUUAUCCGUGUGUGUCACCAAGAUGUUUUUAUGAGAUAGCCGAGGAGGAAAUGUUUGUUUGAUCUCUGCAUAGAGCAUGCUCUCAUGAAGUAUAAGGGCAUGCUAGUGUUGGAAGCUUCUGACUUGAAAUAUCAAGGGCUUUGCAAGUGCGCCGAUUGGUGAUAGAUGAUUAAUGAAAAACUAGAUUCCAAUAGUUCAUAACUUCUCUCCGCGCUUGUUCCCUCUUUAGCUGUACGAAGUCCAUAUUCUUAUUUAUUUGUUCUAGUGCCGAUUUUUGGUGGUUGCAAAUACAGUUUUUCUUGAAGAGGUUUAGUAUGGCUAGUCCCACAGUCCAUGUGAUCAGCUUUUAGCUCCUUUUAUUAUUCUUUUGUGCAUUAGACUCUUCUUUUAGUGGCAUGUGAAUCAUGGUAGUUCUGUAUUGACUGUGUAAUGAUAUGGCUUCUCUAUGUUUCUCUGCCUUUCUAAUCUGAUGUUAGAGGAUGGAUAAUACAUUUACUUGACUGAUGGUAUUUGAUCAGUUAACAGGCCAUCAACACAUCUGCAUCAAGAUUCACUCAGGAUUAAACAAACAAAGCAUAUUCAUGUAUUACUGUAGUAAAACCAGAAACAAUUUAUCUACCGUACAAAGGUAGGGGUAAGGUUUGCGUAGAUUCUAGCCUCUUCAGACUUCACUUGUGAGAUGUUGUUUUACUAUAGUAAAACUGCAUUGGCAUCGUAAGGAGGCUGAAGUAUCAAGAGAUCCAAGUUUAAACUUUGAAUUAUAAUGAGAAUAUCCCAUACAAAGAAGAGAGGAGAGAUUAUGUUUUGAAGCUUGCAAAUUAAGGUUAAGGUUGAGCUUUAUCACAUGUCGAGGAAAACUGGAUGGUUAAAUUUGGCUAACAUAUCAAUUAGCCAAAUAACAUAGAAGAAAAUGUCAUAGCAUAACCAAUAACUAAUAUUCCCACUGUUCUAAAUUUAUGUAACAUAGUUCAUUGAAGCACUAAGUUAUCUAAAAAGCAUUUUAAAAUUUGCAAUCUAAAAUGUGUGUGAUAUUUGUGGGAUAAUAAAUUAUCUCGUAAAAGUAAACUAAGAGUUUUAGUUAAUUUAUUUGUAAAUAUGGAAAGACAAUAUUAACAAACUAAAAAAUAGUGUAUUGAGGUAAACAAGAUUUUAAUUAAAUAUAGAUAAGAUUCAAAAAACAUAUUAGUAGUAAACAGCUGACUAAUCAUCAUCUUAUUGAUCCAUAUGUCAAGUUAAUGUCAAUAUAAUUAGUCGAAUUAUUAGUGUAUUGAGACAAAAAAGGUUUGUAAUUAAAUAUAGAUAAGAUAUACAAAACAUAUUAAUAGUAAGCAGCUGACUAAUCAUCUUAUUGGUCCGUAUGUCAAGUUACUGUGUCAUUAUAAUUAGUCGAGUUACUCGCAUGCUUAGCGGACUUAGUUGAUUGACUCUGGAAACGGAGACGUCACAAAACCCAAAAAAAAUCCACGCAACAUCUGUUACUUACUCUUUAGUCAAACAAAGAAAGACAAAAAUAAGCAGCACAAACUCCCCUCUUUUUUCAAAAAACCCUACUUCGCCGACGCUAUCUUGUCGGAGACGGAGACAGUUACUGGCCGGCGGCUGUGUUAAACAAUAUGAAAGUCGUUGCUUUAGUCAGUGGCGGCAAGGACAGUUGCUAUGCCAUGAUGAAAUGCAUUCAAUAUGGUCACGAGGUUCUCAAUUUUUGUCUCUUUGCCUAAGUGUUUGAUGAUUUUGUCGCUUGUUAUUGUGCUCUUAUUCUGGCAAUUUUCAGAUUGUUGCGUUGGCUAAUUUGAUUCCCGCUGAUGAUGCAACCGAUGAGCUUGAUAGCUACAUGUAUCAAACAGUGAGUUUUUUUUUCUCUUUAAAUGCUGAAAAAGCAUAUGGUGACACUUUUGUAAGCAGGAGCGGAGCUAGCCUUUGGUUAUGAGUUCGGCCAAAGCUAGUAACUUUGGUUCAAACCUUGAAUUUAUAUUAAAAUUUUCAUUGAAAAUGUACAAAUUAUUACUCCCACUUUCAGUUUGUUUGUCUUAAUUUCCUCCAUUUAAAAAAGUAUAUCUCUUUCCUUUUAUUUGGGCAACUCUUUAAUUCUAACUUUGCCUGCAGCAUGUUUUAAGACCACAAGGUUAAAGAGUGUUUUGGUACAUUCUACCCGUCUUUUGCUUAAAACCACAAGAUUCUAAAGUCUAUUUACUUUCUUAAACUUUAUGCACAAAUUAAAACGGAGGGAGUAAUUUAGAACCUUGUAACUUAAGGAUUAGAAUCCUGAACGCAUAAACUUCAAAUUUUGUCUCUGCCUCUGCUUUUUAAGUCCCAACAUACGAAUUCCCUAUAUGCAUAACAUUCAGAGGGUCUGUCAUAGUUGGAUUAUUUUAUUGAAGAGGUGUUGAAUUAGAGAAGUUCAUUAUAUAUGUAUGUGAAAAUGGAACUAAUGCUUAAGGGAACAUUCUUCUUGCAAAACUCAAUCUGAUUGAAGCUUAUCAAAUGAAAAAAAAUGAUCUUUUGGUUAGUUAUAAGCUGCUUUUUUAUCUUCCAUGAUAAUGGUGGUGUCUAUGCUGUCUUGCGCACCUUGAGGUUGUAAGCUGCAUCAGAAACUUUCUAUAAUGUAUCUGCUGGAAAAUGUCUUUAUGUAUUUUUCUCCUAAGACAGUUGUGACUUGUGAGAAAAUCAAUGUUAUGAUUGUUGGGCUUGUAAGGCGACGACAUCCACAGAGAGAAUGUUGUAGAAGUUCCAAUAUUAAGAUGGAUGUGCAGUCAUACAUGCUUGAUAAGAAAUAAAUGAUCACAUUCAAUAGAGGGUAAAAGUUGUAUAUCUGGAGGAUAAAAUGAGAGAAUGUCCCCUUAAUGGGUUGUCAAUUGGCAGCAAUAGAUGAGAUUGAAUCAAUCAGAAGGUUCACCCCUCACCCGGGUGGAUUGGGGAGUUGAGACUUCCUUGCUCUUUUUCUUUGAGAAAGUUAACAUUUUAUAGACAACAAUACACCAAUGGUUUAUUUCAGUAGUAAUUACAUCAGGAGUAUACAGUAAGCAAAACCAAAAGAUCUAUCAUAUAUACCCCUCCUAAACUAUCUAAAAAGUGAGUAAUAGCCUCCACCUCUUUGGGAAGGACAUGGUUACACAAAAAAUAGAGGGUUAUAAGGCAGUUCAACUUCAAACUCUUGAAAGGGAUGCUCUUGUUUUCGAAGCUACUCUGGUUCCUUUCCUUCUAAAUUGUCCACCAGAUGCAAGCAAGGACAAUCUUUCAUCUUUCCUUGUGACCUGAUGUAUUCCUUUCUCUAUUCCAGCAUGAUUUUCUGGGGUGUGUCUUGGCAUGGACCAACUGAUUCCCCUCAAAUUCAAAAAGUCCUGCCAUAGUUUCUCUGUCACUCUGCAAUGGAGGAAGAGAUGUUUUGUUGUCUCUGUUUCUCUUUCACAAAAAAAGCACCUGGAGCAGAACUGUCUUCCCCUUUUCAUUUGAUUGUACGGAGUUAGUACUGCUUCCCUAGCUACCAACUAGGUGAAACAAGCCACCUUGUGAGGUACAUUAAUUUUCGAUAUCAUCUUCCAAGGCCAUGGUAGAAGCAUUUCAGCUGGCCUGUCAAGAUGUCUAUAAGCUGAUUUUAUUGUGAACUUCCCAUUGUUGGCCCUCAACCAUUGUAAACUAUCCUCAUUUGUGUCAAGGUUGUUUGCCUACUCUAAGGACUUGUAGAAAUCUGCUAAUUUGUCUAUUUCCCAGUCAUUCAACCUUCUCCUAAAAGAUAGGUUCCAUCCUUGGUUGUCUCCGACUUCUGCUACUGUUGCUUCCUUCUGUUGGUUCAGAUUAUAAAUCUCAGGAUGCAACUGUUUCAGGGAGUGUUGUCCAACCCACACAUCAUUCCAGAAGAAUGUCUUCCUUCCAUUUCCUAUAUCAAUUUUUGAAUUUCCCCAUAUUUUAGACCAUAAAUUCCUGAUUGUUCUCCAUAAACCAACCCCAUAAGGGUUUUAUCUUCCUCAGUAACCCAUAAGUCCUCCAUUACAAAUCUGGAGAUUAUAACAUCUUUCCACAGACCUUGUUCUACAGAAGCAAACCUUCACAAUCACUUCAAGAGGAGACUCUGGUUUUGAACUUUGAGAUUUUUUAUGCCCAUUCCCCCUUCUUUUUUUGUUGUUUAACACCUCAUCCCAUUUCACCAAGUGAUAUUUCUUUUCCCCCUCCAUUUUCUUGCCAUAAAAAGUUUCUCCUAAUGGAUUCUAACAUCUUUAAAACACUCCCUGACAUAGGGAAUACUGAUAUCAUGUAGGUUGGCAUAGCAUCAAGCACACUAUUAAUUAGUGUCAAUCUUCCACCCAAGGAUAGGUAUUGGCUUCUCCAAUUUACCGGCAUUUUUUCACACUUCUCCACCACUGUAUUCCAUAUAUUCUUUGGUUUACUGUUUUCUCCUAGAGGCAUCCCUAGGUAAGUGGUAGGCAUUUCUCCCACUUUACCUCUAAGAGGCCAGCUAGUCUGUUGAUUUCUGGGACUUCAUUCACGGGGUAGACAAUUUUUUUUCCCCAGUUUAUAUGUAUUCCUGAGACAGCUUCAAACAAUAUAAAUAUGAUCCUUAGAUGCUUUAGUUGUUCUUCCUCUGCACCAUAGAACACUAGGGUGUCAUCAUCAUACUGCAAAUGGGAGAUAGAUAAGCCCCUGGUGUCACUAUCAUUCAUCAAGAACCCUCUGAUCAUGUUAUUUGAUUGUGCUGUUUUCAACAUGCCACUUAGUCCUCCCAUAGCUAGGAUAAAAAGGAAGGGGGAGAGGGGAUCCCCUUGCCUUAAUCUUCUUUCUGAGGGAAAGAAACCAGAGGGGAAUCAUUUAAUAAAACUGAGAAUUUGACUGUUCUCUCACAGUACUUCAGCCAAUUUAUCCACCUAUUUUUAAAACCCAUCCUAUCCAGUGUGUACCACAUAAAGUCCCAGUUGAGGUGAUCAUAGGCCUUUUCUAUGUCCAACUUACAUAGAAUUCCAGGAACUUUAGUUAUUUUCCUCACAUCUACACAUUCAUUGGCUAUAAUAUGACAUCCAUGAUAUGCCUACCCUUAAUGAAUGCCAAUUGAUGCGUAUCCACCAGCUUUGACAUCACUUUCUUGAGACUUCCUUGCUCUUAGGCUUGUUGUAAGGCCAAUAAGAUCAGGAAGAAGGGGAUUUGGUUCUUCCUUUUCUUCGAACUGACUCUAAAGUCUAAUCAUGAUUUUGACUCUAGUAUGAUACCUCCCUCUGUCGCUAUAGAAAUCGAGAAUGGAGGUGACUUUGCUACACUUGCUUAUAGUUGGAAAUUCCAACUCGAAGGCCCUAGUACUACUGACUUUGUCCAUGUCCUAUAUAAACCUCUAGAUGCAUUGGGUUAUUGAUGCCAUCAUUGAUGAUUGAAGAUUCUAAAAGGAAUGAGUGUACACCUAAAGUCACAGAGAGGCAAGUUGUUUCAGAAUACAAAUAUCUCAGAAUCAGUGUGGACCUAACUAAAAGCAAAAUGCAGGUGAAGUAAAUUAUCUCUAUAGACGAUAAUAAUAGUUGAGUUGGUCAGUGUAACACUUACAGCAUGCGUAGUGUUUUUCAGGAUUCCUUUUUAUCCUGGUUAGACUUGUAUGUUUCUGUUGCAGUAGUAUGAGACUGACAUAGAGAAUCCAACAUUUGCAUAAAAGACAAAUUAGUUAGUAUUGGAAUGAUAGAACCUGAAUGCCGAGAAUUCAUAUAGCCACACCUGAACUAAUUUCAGGUUGAGUUAUAGUUAAAUGAUCCUCUUUCUAGCAUCUUGAUGUCUCCCAUCUACUAGUGGAAAUUUCCUUUCUUAUUUACAAGAAUUCUGAUCAUAAGUUUUGUUAAUAAGAAAGAUAAGCGAUAUUCUCCUCCUCUCCUUAAUACCAUGUUUUCAUUUAAAAUGUUCGGUAACUGUAUCUGCAGGUUGGGCACCAGAUAGUUGUUAGUUAUGCUAAAUGCAUGGGACUCCCAUUAUUCCGGAGGCGAAUUCAAGGAUCCACAAGGCAAGCCCUUUUGCAGUCAAUUGCCUAAGUUUGAAAAUUUUAUUACUGGGUGCUUAUUAAAGAACUGGAGAGGUGACAUUUAUUAUUUGUUGUUGAAGGAUAGAGAUGUGAAGUUGUUAUAUAUAUAUAUAUAUUUAGUGAGAGAGAGAGAUAGAGGAUGGGAAAAUGAUGUUUCCAUAAUACUUCUACCUGAAUAAUCUCUGUAAAAUGUUUGUAUUAAUGUAAUUGUUAACUUGCAUAUGCCAAAGAUAAAGAAGUAGCUUCAUGCCUACAGCACAAUUUUUUUAUUUAUAAUGUUCUAUUUAUAACUUUUCUAGUUGGAUUUCGCAGGCAUCAUGACCUAAGCUACAGUAUGACUCCGGGUGAUGAAGUUGAAGAUAUGUUUAUAUUGUUGAAAGAAGUAAAAAGACAGAUACCCUCUGUUACAGCAGUUUCUUCUGGUGCAAUUGCAUCUGACUACCAGAGAUUACGAGUGGAAAGUGUAUGUUCAAGGUUAGGGCUCGUUUCAUUGGCGUACCUAUGGAAGCAAGAUCAAUCUUUUCUUCUGCAGGAAAUGGUAAAUUUGUGUUAGAAAUAGAGAAAACAUUAAUUGCUAUUAUAACUUUAUUCUAAAGUUUUCUUCUUUUCUUUUGUCCCUCCACUCCCAUGGCAGAUAAGAAAUGGAAUUAUUGCAAUAGCAGUGAAGGUAGGAAUCUGUGAGGUCUUUUUAUUUGAGAUUUCACAUGUAAACAUUAUACAUGUGGGAUUCGUGAUUUGGUCACUCUAUAUGAAAUCAAUUGAUGACGUGAGAACCCCUCAAAACACUAAACCCUAUACUUCUGAAUCUUUUCAGGUUGCUGCUAUUGGACUGAACCCCUCAAAACACUUGGGAAAAGAGAUAGCAUACCUGGAGCCCCAUCUCCACAAGCUAAAAGAGUAUGAUAUGGUUAGCAAAAUUUUUGGCUUUGUUUUACUUCACUUUUUUCGCAUUUUUAUGUCUCUUUUUGGCAGGUUAUAUGGAAUAAAUGUCUGUGGUGAAGGUGGAGAAUAUGAAACAUUAACGCUUGAUUGCCCUCUAUUUAAGGCAAGUGUUCCAUCUUUCUCUCCUUUCGGAUGGUCUGCAUAGAGAAUAUAUGGUUGUACUAUGUGGUCUCAAAAAGAAAGAUAGCUUAACUACUACUUCUGUGAUAAAGUAUUACCAAGCACCUUUGGAGAAUAUUUAUCAAUCUGAUCGAUGAUUUUUGUUUAUGUUGCAUUUUCAAAAAAUGCAUUUAUUUUUGCAUUUUUUGUUGGGAUUUUAAUUAUUUUCUAAAUUUUGGUGGGAAAAAUUUGAGUGUAGUCCUCUAAAUGGAUUUAGUAAAGCUCAUUGUGACCUUCAAAAGUCAAAUGAAGCAAAAAGAUGCGAGACAUGGAAUGAAAUUUGGUGCUUUAAAAUUACGUACGUCUUCUUUCUUUAUCAUGUUUAAUUUUUCAACUCUCCCAGCUUUCUGAUUGAAAGCUAAAAUUGACAUUCAAAGUCAACUGAAGCAAAAAUGAUGUGACGUUGAGUAUGAAUUUAGUGCUUAAAAGUUACAUCCCUCUUUUUCUAUCACUCGUCUAAUGUUUCAACUCUCCCAGAAUGCUCGAAUUGUGCUGGAUGAAUUUCAAAUCGUCUUGCAUUCUCCAGAUACCAUAGCCCCUGUUGGCAUCCUCCACCCCCUGGCAUUCCAUCUGGAAAAUAAGGUAGAGUCAAUAUCUUCAAAUGGUAUUGACGAAGCCAGCAAUUUGGAUACAGUAUUUGAAGUGGAAGGAGAUGUCCAACAAGAAGGUGAAGCUGCUAGUGAAUUUGUUGCUAUAAGGUCUGAGCGGUCAGGUGUUACUAAACAGGAGCUCAAAGUUUCUAAAACAAUGAAGGAUAAUGUCUUUUCUAUUUCUUGCUGGCUCCAAGACUCCAGUAAAAAUUCAUCAGGUAAAACAUUGAAGUUACUGUAGAAGGUUAAUGUUAUAAGUGGAAUCAUAUUGGAUAUACUGCUAUUUGUUAAAUUUUCUCUAUGAUCUCGUUCCUCUUUCGUGUCUCUUUUGGAUCUCUCUUGUUUUCAAUGCUUUUAGCCUUGUUAUUGCCAGAUCUGCAGGAGGAUCUGGAGGUUAUUCUAAUGAGAAUUGAAGCUCUGCUCAUGGAAAAUGGUUCCUCUUGGGAAAAUGUACUGUAUAUCCAUCUUUAUAUUGCUGAUAUGGAUGAGUUUGCCGUAGCAAAUGAGACCUAUGUCAGAUUUAUUACUCAAGAGAAGUGUCGUUAUGGUGUACCAUCACGGUCCACCAUUGAGCUCCCUCUAUUGCUAGUUGGUUUAGGGAGGGCAUAUAUUGAAGUUUUAGUGGCAAAUGAUCCUACUAAAAAGGUCUUGCAUGUACAAAGUAUUUCUUGCUGGGCUCCUAGCUGUAUUGGUCCAUACAGUCAGGUACUGAUCUUCUUAAAUAGUGAACCAUUCAUAUUGUUCUGGGACCAGCACGAUUAUCGUUUUCAAUCUGUCUUUCUUUUGAUUUGAAUAUGAAGCAUAUAAUUAACUAGAUAUUUCUAUCUUCUGUUACUAUCAGGAGAAUAAUCAUCUUGAAAAUUUGCUUCUCAUUUAUUUACCAAAUCAUUAUGUUGCAGGCAACUUUGCACAAUGAGAUACUACACAUGGCAGGACAGCUGGGGCUUGACCCAGCAACUAUGUUGCUCUGUGAAGGAGGUCCUGUUGCGGAACUUGAACAGGCACUGGAAAACAGUGAAGCAGUUGCUAGAAGCUUUAAUUGUUCAAUAUCUACGUCAGCCAUGGUUUUUGUGAUAUAUUGUUCAGAAUCUGUAGAAAAAUCAGAAAGAAUUAUUGUCCAAAAGAAAACAGAAACACUUCUUAAGCAAAUGAAGUCGAACCAUGCUGAUGGCACAAAGAAGUCCAAAGUCCUAGAUCCAAUUUUCCUAUAUGUUCUUGUUCCUGAUCUGCCGAAAAGGUAAUUUGUGUCAGCGGUGCUCCAUUGACCACAGUAUAAAUGACACUCUAAUAUUUGUUCCUCCAAGAACUGUUAUGUGAAUAGUUAGCUGUAGUUUAAUCGGAUAUCUGCUAUCGUCAUUUUAAUUCCCUUUGUAUUUGUGUUUCUUGUUAUGCCAUAUGUUGUCUAUCUCCAGUCAGUAUGACAUGAGAAUAAAAUGGGCCUAUUAUUUAUCUGUCUUUCUCGUAAAAUAAAUUAAUUGAGUGCACUUCCUCUAUGUAGAGCUCUGGUUGAGGUAAAGCCUAUGUUUUACACGGGAGAGUAUUUGUCGGGUCCAAGUGACUUAACCAAGCAAUCACAAUCCACAGAACAAGAUUAUUGCGGGCAUGACAUUAGCCUUCAGAAAUGUGUUGCUUACGGCAAAAUAUGCACAGUAAUUCUUUCAGUUACUGAAGGGCUUGCAGCAAAAAUUUGCUCCCUCGCUAGUGUUGCAUGUCCUGCCAAUGUUAUGUCCAAAGGUCUUGUUGAAAAGGAACAAGUCAUAUUGAUCGCAAGAUUUUGCAUUUCUCGUCUCGAUAAAGUCCUUUCGGAGAAUAAUUUCUCUUGGGACGACAUAAUGGUUAGUUUCUUUUUCCUGGCCCAACUAUUUUAUUUCACAAAUUUUCCUGGAGUGAUAUCCCACUUCUCCUUAUAAAUCUGUGCAAGGUUUCCUUGAUUAAAUAGCUAAAUAUAUUACUUUCACUUUAAAAAAAGAGAGACUAAGGAGUCUUUUCUUGACCUUAUUAUGCAAUAUGGAUAGAAUUGUUUGUAGUUGAUGAACUAGAUAAGUGAAAUUGGAGUGGCUGCGGCGGAGUAUAUCUUUUUUUUUUUCAGGGUUAGGAGGUUGAAGAGUAAUAUCCGGGAAGAUCUUCAAUAGCUAGUCACUCUUUGCAUUAGACAUGUUAUUGAAAAUAUGGGGAAGUUCUCUGUAGAUGCCUACACGGAUUUUUUUCGAAAAGAGAUUAUGCGUUGAGCACAUUAUAGCUAUUACUAUGAGUAAUUAGCUGUCUAAGCUGAAGGUGCUGAAAGGAUGAGAACGUGGUAGAAAAAAGUAAACAGUGGAAAAAUAACUCUCUUUUCCUUCCAAUCCAUUGAAAUAAAACUGUUUGAAAGGCUUGGUUACUUCUCAGUAGGGGUGGUAGAAUGGGUAAUUUAUAUGGGUAUCCACUCAUAUUUACCCAUUUUAAAUGGGUUGGGUACCCAACACAUUUAAAAUAUGAGUCGAUUCGAGUAAUUUAUCCAUUUUUGUUUAACUCGUUUUCGAUAGACUCAUAUUCGACUUAACUCGCUUGUUUGCCACUCCUACUUCUCAGUAAUGGUAGGGAGGAAUUGACAAAGAUUGAGCCACUAAAGCUGGGGAUUUUUCUCUUAUAGUCUGCACUUUAAAAGCCCUCAUUUUCUUGCUUUGCUAAUCUUUUUCCUAGAUGAAGUAUUCUAGUCCUCUUAACACCUUCUCUCCUUUUUUGCAGAAUUUCCGGCUCUACUUUGCGAGCAAUCUUAAUUUCUCUCAUGGAACAUUGUCUGAAAUCUUCUCUGAUGUGUUCAAUGAACUUGUUCAGAUGAGUCGGAGAAAUAAAGUAGACGCUGAGCCUAUUUUAAAUAUAGUUCCUGUCUUGGGUGCCGGGCGUUCUUUAUCGACCUUGGAUGAUAUAUUCACAUGUGAACUCAUUGCUAGCAAAUGUUAGUUCUCAUUUAAAUUGGGGAAUGAUAUAUUAUAUGUUUCAAUUCAGAAAAAGAGAGUUUUGAACUUGACAAAAUUCUUAUUAUGUUUUUGCCAUACCCAAUUGUUACAAUUUACACUUAACUUCACACGAAAUGAAUAUAUGAGUGUUUCAACUCGAAUUGAAGAGAUGGUGACUUUUGACUGUUCCUUGAUGGGAAGAUUUCAGACUUGGAAGAAAUGUUCUAAUUGCUUUCAGUUCUAGUGCUCAAUUUUUUAAGUCAUUUGGUUUGAAGGAAAAUUUUUACGCCAAGCGUUUGCUGAUGGAGUUGAAUGGAAAAACCUUAGCCCCGCAGUCGGUGAUUUAUGAAAAUGUGUAUUUAAUUAACUAUAGUUUAAUGAUAGGAGCGUAUGUGCAGACAUGUAUCAUGUAUUUACUGGAUUGGUAUAAACACUUUGUGCAGGUAAGGUUUUAUCGAGUUGAAUUAUGCAUCUGCUGCAAGUAGAAGCUAGGUGGUGUAGUGGCUCCUUUUUAAAUUGGUUUUAGUACUUUGAAGUAGGAGUGUUCAUGGUUUGGUUAAAAGUUGAUCCAACCAAUUAAAUACAAAUACAUCACGGUUUGGCUGGGCUGGCCUCCGAUAUCAUAUUGAAUAAGAGAGAUAAGAGUUGAAGCUUGUUUGUACUUAGUAGUAAUUUUGAUUAUUUCUUGUGUCCAUGGUUUAAUGUAUUUAUAUUCAAAACAAUGAACAAAGUAAUAUAGUCAUACAAAGUACUACAAUCUUAAGUCUAUCCAACUUCAAUCUAGACGCUUUGUAGGAUUUUAGAAUUACGGGUGCACCAUAGGUAAAGGAUUUUUGAACAAAAAGCGUAACGGAAAUGAUUUAAAAUUUUGAAAUUCUCUUCGAAUUCCAAAUCAACAUGUUAGUAUAAAUACAUUCCUAGAAAUUCAUUAAAAUUGUUAUAUCUAAAUUUAACACUCUACUCUUUUACGCUAGCAUGAAUCCAAAAUUUCAAUGGAGAUAUCGGACACGUAAAAUAAAUAAAGAUAUCGAACAGUUAAAAAGAAAAAUAAAAUAAUAUAUAUUGAGUAAUAUCAAAUUAUUUGGGGUAGAGUACAUGUCCUGAAUUUGGGGUUGCAGUGUUGUGUUUGUCAUAGGGCAUACAAAAGCUUUCUCUUUUCUUUUUGAGUGAUUUACAAAAAUAACUAUUAUUAUGCAAUUUAAUAAUGCUCAUAAUGCUUAUUCUGAUUUAAGCUCUAAAGCAUGUAAAAGUUAGAUGGCAUUUCCUUGAUGCUAUACUUGAAAUUGCUUAUGCAUAUAUAAAGCUUAUUACUAUGCAAUUUAAUGCUCAUAAUGCUUAUCCUGAUUUAAAACUUAAUGAUAAUUAUUGAACUGAAGUAAAUGAACUUAGAAUGUUUUUUAAAUCAUUUUAUGAUGCUACUAAAAAAAAUUCUAAAAUGAAUUAUUCUACUAUUACUGAAAUUUUAAUACAUGUAUAUGAGAUUUCAUCUUCUUUUUUGUCUAAAUAUAAAACAAAUGGAUUAUUUACAAAUGCUAUUGAAGCUAUGAUUAUAAAAUUUAAGAAAAUAUUUUUUUCAUAUCCCUCAAAUUAUUUAACUAUAAUUAUUUUCAACCCCUGGAUAUAAAGAAUAUGGUGCAAAAGCUUUAGUUGAAUGCAUUUAUCAAAAUUUAGAUAUUCAAUCACACAAAACCUGAUUUGGUAACAUGUCAAAAUAGCAUCAAAUUACUUGCUAAAGAAAUGUAUGAUAAAUAUUGUUCCUAAUACAAUGUUGAAAAUCCUCAAACUUCUAUACCUCGAGUAAGUGCCCAUGAUAGAAUGAAACAUAAACUUGAUCUUGAUUCUUCUAAUAAAUAUGAAUUUGUUAAAUAUCUUGAACAUAUGGUUCAAAUAAUAUUACAAACGAGGAAGGUAUGCCACAACUAUUGACCUGGUGGAGGGCUCGUGGAACUCAAUUUCCAAAAGUUAGUAGGAUGGUGAGGGAUGUGCUUGCAAUUCAAGGAUCAUCAGAAGCUUUGGAGGCAGCUUUCAGCGCAGCAAAAUUUCAAAUUGGAGACCACAAAUAUUCGUUAGCAGAAGACAGUUUGGAGAUAACGGUGUUGUUUAGAGAUUGGAUAAAUGCCGAGCGAAGAAAUCAAGAACUUCCAAAGUUAGAUAAUCAAUAUGAACUUUUCUUAGAUUCAGCCAUUGGAUGUGAUAGUGACGAUGGCAUGGACUUCUAGAUCAUCAACAAGCUUUACCAAGACCAGAAGUUGAUAACGGUCAAUCUUUAGCUAAGUUAAAGAAAAGCUUUUUAGGACUAUACAAUUAUUAGUGUUACAUUCGAGGCUUAGUUGAAAUAAAAUCCUUCUUAGAAGGUGGCUGCAUAAAUUAGACACUCUACUAAUAGUUGUAAUUGUAAUACAAAUUUGAAUAAAUUGGAUUGAUUUUUAAAUUUUUGUCAUUGUUUUAUACUUUUAUUAGCAUUUCUUUUUUGUUUAUUGUUUUUUUUUAAAUUACAAACUUAAUUCAUCAACUUCAAAUAAUAUAAAUUUAAUUAAAUAAAAGAUUUAUCAAACUUAAGUUACUUAAAUUACAAGUCAUAACUUAACUUAAAAAAAUUCAACUCUUAAAAACUUAUAACAUAAAUUUAAAAACAUAGAAAAAAUAACUUUAAUAAAACUUAACUUACAAACUUAGUAUAAAUUGAAAAAGUUUAGAAAAAGUAUCUUUAAAAUUGACUUAUAUUGAAAAACUUAGAAAAUAAAAUACGAUAAACUUAAAUCUUAACUUCCUUAAAUCCUGGUAUGCUUUUUACCGUCAUUAAUUUAUGCUUAUAUUAUUAAUUGUUGUUUUUAAGUACAUGAUUUAAGCUUUGUUGUUUAUGUUUUUGCAAAGUUAUUGUUAUAAGUAUUUGUUAGUACAGAUUAAAUAACAAAAGUUAAUUGAGUAUUCAGACAAGUUUUCUCUACUAGAAUUGUUGAAGGUACAAUAAAAAAAAUCCCUUACAAAUCUCUAAUUUCUUCACCAACAACGUCAUUCCUUCACAUACAAGAAUGAGAUUUUUUAUUUUUUUAAAAAUCAUCUGAGAUUUAAUAACUUUGCAUGCCCAUAUUUUUGGUUUUUAUAUUGUAAGUUAUCUAUUUUUACUAAAUUUUAUCAGUGAAUAUUAUGAGUACUUUAAGGAUUAAAAGUUGAUUGAAGUGUUAGUCAAAUUUUUGAGGUUUGUUAUUUCAAAACAUAGGAAGUUUUCUGGUUAGAAUGAUUUGUUAUCAUCGUUGGAUAUCUCAAAGUUUACUCCCUUUGAUGCAUGCUUUUUCUCAUUGUUUUGUUGUCUCCUUAAAAUUGUAAUGACUAUUUUUCGUUUGGUAUGUAUAUGAUCUCAUUUGGACAAAGCUUUCGUCCUUCUAAAGUUUUUUCUUUUUUUCCUUCUCAUUUGACUCUUCUAAAUAUUUUUGGUGUGAGUAAUGACUAUUUUCGGCAAGCUUAAUUUGAAGAAUAUGAAACAAAACCUACCAUAAAUAAAAGUAAUAUCUUAAGCUACAAAAGAUAUGUCUAUUAACAUAGAUUUGUUGUCCUUCAUGUCCCAAAUCAUUGUUGAGCGUUUGAGUUAUCUAGGUUAGACUCAUUUUUAAUCUUUUCAUGUUUGAGAAUAUUUUUUCAACAUGAGUCUAGAAUCCAACAUUUUGAUUUACUUGUACUUUUAUAAUGCAACAAUUAUACGUACAUAUUUCUGAAAAA